RNAcentral lists this ribosomal RNA (616 nucleotides) under uncultured Legionella sp. Its description in RNAcentral is "bacterial SSU rRNA". It matches the Rfam family "Bacterial small subunit ribosomal RNA", at positions 242 to 849 of the family's 1533-position model. The record is from RNAcentral. Lineage: Bacteria; Pseudomonadati; Pseudomonadota; Gammaproteobacteria; Legionellales; Legionellaceae.
UAGCUAGUUGGUGGGGUAAGGGCCUACCAAGGCGACGAUCGGUAGCUGGUCUGAGAGGAUGACCAGCCACACUGGAACUGAGACACGGUCCAGACUCCUACGGGAGGCAGCAGUGGGGAAUAUUGGACAAUGGGGGCAACCCUGAUCCAGCAAUGCCGCGUGUGUGAAGAAGGCCUGAGGGUUGUAAAGCACUUUCAGUGGGGAGGAGGGUUGAUAGGUUAAGAGCUAAUUAACUGGACGUUACCCACAGAAGAAGCACCGGCUAACUCCGUGCCAGCAGCCGCGGUAAUACGGAGGGUGCGAGCGUUAAUCGGAAUUACUGGGCGUAAAGGGUGCGUAGGUGGUUGAUUAAGUUAUCUGUGAAAUUCCUGGGCUUAACCUGGGACGGUCAGAUAAUACUGGUUGACUCGAGUAUGGGAGAGGGUAGUGGAAUUUCCGGUGUAGCGGUGAAAUGCGUAGAGAUCGGAAGGAACACCAGUGGCGAAGGCGACUACCUGGCCUAAUACUGACACUGAGGCACGAAAGCGUGGGGAGCAAACAGGAUUAGAUACCCUGGUAGUCCACGCUGUAAACGAUGUCAACUAGCUGUUGGUUAUAUGAAAAUAAUUAGUGGCGC